This 357-nucleotide long non-coding RNA is filed under the name Capsicum annuum. RNAcentral's name for it is "long non-coding RNA (CANN_LNC006863)". Lineage: Eukaryota; Viridiplantae; Streptophyta; Magnoliopsida; Solanales; Solanaceae. The record is from RNAcentral.
AGAGUUGGUCUUGAUGAUUAUGUGCUUAUGUCACACUAUAUAUACCUAUAUCAUAGAUGGAAUAGGGUACGAGGAUUCCCCAACCUUCUACGAUAUCUCUAGUUUAUGUAACUAACACGUAUUGUGGCCCGACCAGGGGGAGACAACUGAACCUAGGGUAGUUUUAUGAUGGUCAAGCUACACAGUCUAGGCUAAUGAUUUAAAGUUCAUACUAAACCUUGUUCCCUCUCCUAGUAUCCUACAUAUAUAUAUAUAUGUAUGUGUAAAUGGGUAUUGAUUUUGGACUUGUUUUGGAAUUAUGGCAUUAUUUUGUCCCCUUAUCCCUGGGUUACAUACUAGCAUUAAACCCUCUAACCA